This is a long non-coding RNA of Drosophila miranda, 212 nucleotides long. RefSeq lists it as uncharacterized. NCBI's taxonomy places the organism in Eukaryota, Metazoa, Arthropoda, Insecta, Diptera, Drosophilidae. The transcript has 2 exons. The record is from RefSeq and is a predicted model, not a curated record.
CGUAAUUACCGCGUGUCCAUCGUGGCUAAGAUCUAGUCAAAAGAUCAGCCGACCAUUCCUACGUUUAUUAAGCGAAGGCCGAACCCAUCGGGUUUGGCCGUACGUAAUACCGUACGAAACGCCGGUCGUAGUGCCGUAAGCCGUACCCACUACAGUCUCGUCACCUUACCACACAUAUAAAUACCCAGCGUCCCGAUCGACUACAGUAUGUG